RNAcentral lists this ribosomal RNA (450 nucleotides) under uncultured bacterium. Its description in RNAcentral is "partial 16S ribosomal RNA". It matches the Rfam family "Bacterial small subunit ribosomal RNA", at positions 354 to 796 of the family's 1533-position model. The record is from RNAcentral.
GUGGGGAAUAUUGGACAAUGGGCGAAAGCCUGAUCCAGCCAUGCCGCGUGUGUGAAGAAGGUCUUCGGAUUGUAAAGCACUUUAAGUUGAGAGGAAGGGCAGUAAGUUAAUACCUUGCUGUUUUGACGUUACCAACAGAAUAAGCACCGGCUAACUUCGUGCCAGCAGCCGCGGUAAUACGAAGGGUGCAAGCGUUAAUCGGAAUUACUGGGCGUAAAGCGCGCGUAGGUGGUUCAGCAAGUUGGAGGUGAAAUCCCCGGGCUCAACCUGGGAACGGCCUCCAAAACUGCAUGACUAGAGUACGGUAGAGGGUAGUGGAAUUUCCUGUGUAGCGGUGAAAUGCGUAGAUAUAGGAAGGAACACCAGUGGCGAAGGCGACUACCUGGACUGAUACUGACACUGAGGUGCGAAAGCGUGGGGAGCAAACAGGAUUAGAAACCCCUGUAGUCC